UGGAGGGUAGGAAGCAGCAAGUGAAGGAAGUGGAGCAGAGAUGAGAGUGCGGCCCUCCCAGGAAGGAGGUCUGGGGGCUCUUAACCUUCCUUGCGGAUGAAGAAAUGGAGGCCAAAAGUCAAUAACCUGUCCAGUUUCACACAGCUGAUCAGUGGAAAGACUGGGGUUUGAAUUCUGAUCUGUUUGACAGUUUAUGGGAAGAACAUAUGAGUGACCGUAUGUGUAUGUGUCUUGUAAGCUCAUUUCUAAUCAGCCCCUGGGAAUACUGGAUCUGAGAAACACUUUGUCCUUCUGAGGAACAAAACCCUUCCCAGGUGACUGCUCAUCAUGCACAGGCGGGUGAUAUUGAGGACCAUGACAACGGUGAAGGCCACAAGGCAGACGACCAUGUAGUAGACGCCCAUGUCUCCAGAGGUAAAGAUGAC
Prionailurus viverrinus (fishing cat) is the source of this 425-nucleotide long non-coding RNA. RefSeq lists it as uncharacterized. Lineage: Eukaryota; Metazoa; Chordata; Mammalia; Carnivora; Felidae. The record is from RefSeq and is a predicted model, not a curated record. The transcript has 4 exons.